This 274-nucleotide ribosomal RNA is filed under the name uncultured bacterium. RNAcentral describes it as "partial 16S ribosomal RNA". It matches the Rfam family "Bacterial small subunit ribosomal RNA", at positions 523 to 796 of the family's 1533-position model. The record is from RNAcentral.
AUACGGAGGGGGCUAGCGUUGUUCGGAAUUACUGGGCGUAAAGCGUACGUAGGCGGACUGAUCAGUUGGGGGUGAAAUCCCAGGGCUUAACCCUGGAACUGCCUUCAAUACUGUCAGUCUUGAGAUUGGAAGAGGUGAGUGGAAUUCCCAGUGUAGAGGUGAAAUUCAUAGAUAUUAGGAGGAACACCGGUGGCGAAGGCGGCUCACUGGUCCAAUACUGACGCUGAGGUACGGAAGCGUGGGGAGCAAACAGGAUUAGAAACCCGAGUAGUCC